Molecule: RNA transcript, 693 nt
Organism: Manduca sexta (tobacco hornworm)
Lineage: Eukaryota; Metazoa; Arthropoda; Insecta; Lepidoptera; Sphingidae
Exons: 3
Source: RefSeq, a predicted model, not a curated record
AACUAAACGAUAAAUAUAACUUUGUUACAGACUUGGCGGCGAUAAGACAGUUACUGGACAGCGAAACUGGCGCCACAACUUGCCCCAGUUGUAACAUGCCCUUUGAUAAAGGCAAAAAGAGAAAGCUGAUCGACACUUGCGGGCAUGAGCGGUGUUACUCCUGCAUGUUCAGGAAUGAGGCGUGUCCGUUGUGCGCCAGAAGCACCCAGGCUCGGCGGCCAGUGAUGGAGCGGUACACGCCGUCGCCGCAGCGCCAGGACGACUGGCAGUCGCCACUGAGGCUACCCAAGCCGCCGAAACAACCCACCAACCUCGCGCAGAGCUGUCCCACGCCGCCGCACACCAGGAGAAGAUUCUUCCUCAGCCCGAAGUCGCUGCGCAGUCCGUUCGGGCAGCGCGCGGCACUCGCACGACAGCCAUGUGCCGCUCUCCGGGUUGCCAGAGGAAGGUCCGAGGAGUGCUGCGUGGCACAGCUUGGUGUUCAAUAAGAUCAGGUCGCUGUGGACGGCACACUCGUCUGUGCCGCAAGGCCUCAACCAACUGACAGAUGAUGAGGGUGGUCACAUCAAGCAAGGAUACGAGUCGCGGCGGCAGAAUGACCUGUACAUGAGGCUUGGCUUGCUGCUCAGGGAUGGGCGAGGGUCCAGGAACAAGGCUAGAGACAGCUGCACUUCCCUGGCAUCCCUUGACGCU